RNAcentral lists this ribosomal RNA (330 nucleotides) under uncultured eukaryote. RNAcentral describes it as "partial 18S ribosomal RNA". It matches the Rfam family "Eukaryotic small subunit ribosomal RNA", at positions 1470 to 1796 of the family's 1831-position model. The record is from RNAcentral.
CCCUUAGAUGUCCGGGGCUGCACGCGCGCUACACUGUAGAAAGCAGCGUGCUUUAAAACCUUUCCUGAAAAGGAUGGGUAACCCCAGCAAAAUUCUACGUGCUUGGGAUAGAGAUUUGCAAUUUUCUCUCUUGAACGAGGAAUUCCCAGUAAGUGCGAGUCAUCAGCUCGCGUUGAUUACGUCCCUGCCCUUUGUACACACCGCCCGUCGCUACUACCGAUUGGGAAAAUUUUAGAGAGUCCCGGACUGAUGAUUGUUCGGCUUCACGGCCUUACUUUCGUCGGGAAAGAAUUCGAUAAUAUUUUUCUAGAGGAAGUAAAAGUCGUAACA